This is a long non-coding RNA of Ornithodoros turicata, 355 nucleotides long. RefSeq lists it as uncharacterized. The record is from RefSeq and is a predicted model, not a curated record. The transcript has 3 exons. Lineage: Eukaryota; Metazoa; Arthropoda; Arachnida; Ixodida; Argasidae.
CGCUGCUUGUCGCACGAUGCCAAAAAUGAUAACUUGGACGUGUGGCACCGGUCUAGUGCAUGCACAACCUACUGCCAAUGUCGCGACAGAACUGCAAGCAACACUGCCACGUGACCUUUCGGCCAAAAUCGAAGACGCAGUUCACCAGGGUGGACCGCGUUAGCAGAGGUGCUCCCACCAUAAGAACAGCAGGCUCCCUCCACGGCGUUACACGCCCUCCGACGGGAAGACAGUUUCUUAUGUUUCUUUGGUUCUGACCUACGAGUACAUACCAUAUGACGCGAGCACCUAAACUGCUUCCCCGUGUCGUUCCCACGCACAGUGUCACUUUACGUCAUCCGGCUCUCUUUGUGCG